ACUCUUCCAGCUCAAAUGUUUGCAAGGAUCACCAAAAGUCUUUGAGACAACACUGAAGAACUGCUACAGGCAGAUAACUGCUUUUGACACACACCCAUGACAUGCAAAUGAUUAUGAGUGCAUGCCAUGAUACUGGAAGGGUUUCUGGCUUUCAAAAUUGGUCCCAGAAAAAAUACUAUACUACAGCAGUGGUUGAAAGUGUGAAGGACACUAUAGAAGUACUUCAGAAGAUUGUGGAAGAUGGAGAAAGUUGGAAAACAAAAUAGAAGAGAAAACUGGAGGACUGAAAAGAGAAAGUAAUAAUAAUUAUGGUAAUAAUUAUGG
This is a long non-coding RNA of Ornithorhynchus anatinus (platypus), 324 nucleotides long. RefSeq lists it as uncharacterized. NCBI's taxonomy places the organism in Eukaryota, Metazoa, Chordata, Mammalia, Monotremata, Ornithorhynchidae. The transcript has 2 exons. The record is from RefSeq and is a predicted model, not a curated record.